Long non-coding RNA from Lycium barbarum (goji berry), 1511 nucleotides. RefSeq lists it as uncharacterized. The transcript is spliced from 2 exons. NCBI's taxonomy places the organism in Eukaryota, Viridiplantae, Streptophyta, Magnoliopsida, Solanales, Solanaceae. The record is from RefSeq and is a predicted model, not a curated record.
UCGGAGAUCAGAGAUGUCACUGGGUAUACUUUGUAUCAGAGGGAGUUCUAGAGUAGAGAAGAGUGGAAGUUGUUAGACCCUUGGCAUUCCCCAUAGCCUUGCUAGGAACUAUGGUGUUUCCACAAGAUGAAUCGUUGGCCAUAGCCACCCGAAUGAUCUACUUAACCCACGCUAUCUGUAGACACGUAAUUUUGACCCUCCUCGUGUGUUUUAUCUUAUAGUUUUAAAUAUUUCUUUUAAUUUUAAUUUUUGACGUGUUAGUUUUAUUCUAUUUUUAUUUAGUAGGCUUAUUUGCGAAAAUCAAAAGGAACAAAAUAUUUGCUAUAUUUAGAGUUUAAGUUUUGUGUUUUAAAGAAAGAAAAAUUACAAAAACUAUGCUUUAUAGGUUUCAAUUUUGCUUAGCCAGUUAUUUAUUUUAAGAGUAUUUUGUUUUAAGCUAUCUAGAAAUAGUUCUUAAUUUUUUUUUUUUGUUUUUACACCCUUAAAAUAAAAAAUAAAAAAUAAUAAUAGAAAAUGAGCAAAAAGGAUUAUACCACCUCACCAUAAAAUGACAAAACUUGAUAACAAACCUUAUUUUUUUAGUUAUCUAGGAAUAGUUAUUAAAUAUUUAUCUUUUAUAUUAAAAAAAAAAAAAGGGGGGGGAUUACACCACCUAAUCACAAAAUGACAAAACUUUAUAACAAACCUCAAAAUGGAAGGGAUCACGUUUUUUAAAAAACAAAAAAAGUAUUUUUUUAUUUCUUUAUUGUUAUGGGGUGGGUCCCACAUAAAAAAAAAUAAUUAACAAAAAAAAAAAAACGUGAAAAGAAGGGGAGAAUCUUUUCUGUUGUUGGCAGAGUAACAACAUGCUCCUCUCCAUUUUUUUUUUGUCCUUUUAUAUAAAGAAAGCAACAAACAAAUGAAAAAGGGGGGAUGAAUCGUCUUCUUCAUUCAUCAUCUUCAUUUCUUCACCUAUAAACACCACCCUAUUCCCGUCACCACCUAAAACCAACGAACCCACCUGAAAAUCAUCCCAAACACCGCACUUUUUUUUUUUUUCUGUCAUUAAAACCCACCUGAAAAUACCUUCAUAGACACCAUGGAACUCAUGAUUAGAUCAUUAUAGGUUCAUUCUCAAAAAAAAAAAAAAAAUGUGUUGUCGAGUUCGAAGCUGUCCGGUCUAGGUGUUGUCGAGGUCCAAGGCUACAGCAGGUUCAUUCCGGUGUGAUUUGAGGUACACCAGAUGAGCCACAGUUAUCAUAGAAGAUGUUCCAGCGGGGUUAGCAGGCUCCACUCGUUCUGGAGUGCUGCCGAGUCAGAGUAUCUGAGCCAUGAUGUUUGCUUGAUGUUAGAGACUUUGCAGAUAGAGUCGUAGGUAUUGGGUUGUCAGUCUGUAAGCGGCUCCAGCAGCCGAUAUGUUAUUAUGUUUCAUGUCACGAGUCUUAUAUGAUGUCAGAUUCUACUUAUGAAGAAAAAUAAUUUGGGAGAGCUUACUAUGUAUUUAUUUCUUAAGUGAUUCAAGAGUUUCUAUA